Non-coding RNA from Physcomitrium patens, 1586 nucleotides. The record is from RefSeq and is a predicted model, not a curated record. NCBI's taxonomy places the organism in Eukaryota, Viridiplantae, Streptophyta, Bryopsida, Funariales, Funariaceae.
CCCCCCUUCUGAUAGAGACACUCUUCCAUUGGGACUCAGCCCAUUCUCACUCACCACUGAGACAAAAUAUUAGCCAGGCUAAGAUGGAUGGAUGGAUGUCUGAACGAAUGAAUGAAGAGAAGAUAAUGGAUGAAUGAACAUUCGCCGGGUAGAAGGCGAUCUUCGUCUUCCUCCGUGGAAUUCGAAGCUUGACCUAAUUUGAAGCUGUCUCGGGAUUUGAGAGAUGCUUCUGUCUCGUUUUCACGGGAUCAUUUCGAGGAUUGAGCAGUUGCGUAUUUGUGUGGACUUUCGAUGCAUGAAGAAGAAACCGAGAUGAAAUUUGAUCCUAACUGCGCGUGGGAACAGUCCCGUUGAGAAAGGGUUGUGGCUCAAGCUGUCAAGCUGUAACUCCCAUGAGCUAUAUCGUAUGCGGUUUUGCGGAAAGAAGAAGCAAUUGUUUUGCCUGCAGUACUUACAUUGUGCGGAUCCAAUUUUUUUAUUCGCUGCUUCCUGCGUUUCAAUCUUGUUUAAAUAAUUAUGGAAUUUUAGCAAAGGGUGGAGAUCAACACUCACGUGGAGAAGAACCUCAUCCUAGAGAAGACCUCGAAUCGAGGCUAGAAAAACAGUGUUAGAGCCAAUCAAAGAGAUGCUGAUGCCCAAGUAACCUUCUCCCUGAGGUUUUUUAUGCAUGUCAACUGAAUUCACCCUUAAUAAACAUUGCUUUUUCUUGGCUUCUUCACCUCGAUGAUACAUACAUCUUAGUCCUAUGUAUCUGAAGUUGUAAUGUUAUUCUGUGUUGCUCAAUCGACGUCAUCAACUAUUCGUGACAUACCACGUCCCAGUUUAAAUGGUAGGCGGAACUUGUUGAUAAGACCGUGGGAUAACGUGGAGCUUGCUGCUCCAACUUAUCUCAUCGAUCGGUACUGAGGUUGGCUGCAAUUGACUAGGGGAGAUCCAGCGCACUGCCUUGCGAUCCAGCGAGCUCUUAUUACAGCAUUCUUUUUUUUCUUUGACACGAACAACUUGUCCCGAAGACGACACCUGAAUCUCGUGCCCUAGUCAUGACCCUCGCUCCUCCAGCCAACCAGACGUCCGUUUCGUCCUUCGCGCAUUCAUCAUUAAUGCUUCAAUUUGAUUCCGUCACUCUCAUAGAUACGGUUUGUCGGCUCACCAAUCAUAUCGCAUGUAUGGCAGAGUCGCUCUUGCAUCACGAGCGUUAUCAUUUUGCAUGAUUUGGGAUUUUCGGGGCAAUGAGUUCUGGUAAUGAGGAGACGGGGAGAGAUGAAGCUUUUCUGUGUGUAUAGUGCAGUUGCGGAGACCGAGGUUGCAACUUGUUUGGAUUACGACGAUGCCUGGAUCGCUCGGAAGGGAUUUAUCAAUUUGUCGCUGAACGAUCCCCAUAAUGUUAGACGCCCACCACUUCGGAGGCAGCGCAGCUGCAGUAUCCGGUGGUAUCCGCUUGCCCGUCUACACUGUCAGAUGCACUUUUUUCGUAGGGUGCCAAGUUAGGGGAAUUUAGUGAAGACACCGCAGCUACUCAGGUGGGAAGUUUGAAGUAAUAUGUAUUUAACAAUUAACUCAAUAAAAAUUUCAUACUGAUCAUUUUA